AGCGUUGCUCGGAAUCACUGGGCGUAAAGCGCACGUAGGCGGAUUGUUAAGUCAGGGGUGAAAUCCUGGAGCUCAACUCCAGAACUGCCUUUGAUACUGGCGACCUCGAGUCCGGGAGAGGUGAGUGGAACUGCGAGUGUAG
Molecule: ribosomal RNA, 142 nt
Filed under: uncultured Alphaproteobacteria bacterium
Lineage: Bacteria; Pseudomonadati; Pseudomonadota; Alphaproteobacteria
Description: partial 16S ribosomal RNA
Rfam family: Bacterial small subunit ribosomal RNA
Source: RNAcentral